UGCCUUAGUAACUGCGAGUGAAGCGGCAAGAGCUCAAAUUUGAAAUCUGGCGCCUUUGGCGUCCGAGUUGUAAUUUGGAGAGGCAUCUUCGGGGUCGGCGCCGGCCUAAGUUCCUUGGAACAGGACGUCAUAGAGGGUGAGAAUCCCGUUCUCGGCUGGCUGUCCGUCCUCAUGUGAAGUGUCUUCGACGAGUCGAGUUGUUUGGGAAUGCAGCUCAAAAUGGGUGGUAAACUCCAUCUAAAGCUAAAUACUGGCGAGAGACCGAUAGCGCACAAGUAGAGUGAUCGAAAGAUGAAAAGCACUUUGAAAAGAGAGUUAAAAAGUACGUGAAAUUGUUGAAAGGGAAGCGCUUGAGACCAGACUCGGCGUGAGGUAUUCAUCGUCCCUUCUGGGGCGUGCACUUGCCUCUCGUCGGGCCAGCAUCGGUUGCGGCGGCGGGAUAAAGACCCGGGGAAUGUGGCUGCUCUCGGGCAGUGUUAUAGCCCCGGGUGCCAUGCCGCCUGCUGCGACCGAGGACCGCGC
This 522-nucleotide ribosomal RNA is filed under the name Desmazierella acicola. Its description in RNAcentral is "eukaryotic LSU rRNA". It matches the Rfam family "Eukaryotic large subunit ribosomal RNA", at positions 76 to 600 of the family's 3401-position model. The record is from RNAcentral. Lineage: Eukaryota; Fungi; Ascomycota; Pezizomycetes; Pezizales; Sarcoscyphaceae.